CAAUAGCGUAUGUUAAAGUUGUUGCAGUUAAAAAGCUCGUAGUUGGAUUUCUGGUGGGAGCGAUCGGUCUGGCGCUUAGCGCGAGUACUUGCAUCGUCUCCGGCCAUCCUUGGGGAGAGUCUGUCUGGCAUUAGGUUGUCGGGCAGAGGAUCCUCAUCGUUUACUGUGAAAAAAUUAGAGUGUUCAAAGCAGGCUUAUGCCGUUGAAUAUGUUAGCAUGGAAUAAUAAGAUAGGACUUUGGUACUAUUUUGUUGGUUUGCGCACCAAAGUAAUGAUUAAUAGGGACAGUUGGGGGUAUUCGUAUUCCGUUGUCAGAGGUGAAAUUCUUGGAUUUACGGAAGACGAACUACUGCGAAAGCAUUUACCAAGGAUGUUUUCAUUAA
Molecule: ribosomal RNA, 383 nt
Filed under: uncultured eukaryote
Lineage: Eukaryota
Description: partial 18S ribosomal RNA
Rfam family: Eukaryotic small subunit ribosomal RNA
Source: RNAcentral